RNAcentral lists this ribosomal RNA (520 nucleotides) under uncultured Glomus. RNAcentral describes it as "SSU rRNA". It matches the Rfam family "Eukaryotic small subunit ribosomal RNA", at positions 569 to 1090 of the family's 1831-position model. The record is from RNAcentral. Lineage: Eukaryota; Fungi; Glomeromycota; Glomeromycetes; Glomerales; Glomeraceae.
AGCAGCCGCAGUAAUUCCAGCUCCAAUAGCGUAUAUUAAAGUUGUUGCAGUUAAAAAGCUCGUAGUUGAAUUUCGGGAUCAAUACGUCGGUCGUGCUUCGGUACGUACUGGCGUAAUUGAUUUCUCCCUUCUGACGAACCAUGAUGUCAUUAACUUGGUGUCAUGGGAAAUCAGGACUGUUACUUUGAAAAAAUUAGAGUGUUUAAAGCAAGCUAACGCUUGAAUACAUUAGCAUGGAAUAAUGAAAUAGGACGUUCGAUCCUAUUUUGUUGGUUUCUAGGAUUGACGUAAUGAUUAAUAGGGAUAGUUGGGGGCAUUAGUAUUCAAUUGUCAGAGGUGAAAUUCUUGGAUUUAUUGAAGACUAACUACUGCGAAAGCAUUUGCCAAGGAUGUUUUCAUUAAUCAAGAACGAAAGUUAGGGGAUCGAAGACGAUCAGAUACCGUCGUAGUCUUAACCAUAAACUAUGCCGACUAGGGAUCGGAUGAUGUUAAUUUUUUCAAUGACUCAUUCGGCGCCUUA